CUCUGAUGGCCGCAGAGAGUACAGGACGCCCGGGGAAGCCGUGCUGUCAGGCGGGGAUUGGGUGUUCCAGGUUCAUUAAAAGGCUUUUAAAGAUAAGAUAGACUUUGUUGAUGCUGGGGGGUCUUAAUAUUGUAAUAAUGCUAUUGUUAUUAUAAAAUCACAAUCUGCACUCGUGCUUCUCAGGAUUUAUUAAAAUACCGACGGACCUUUAAACAAUGACAGUGUUAUGUUUUACCACCCGACGGAGCCCAUGACCAGCUCCAUAAAGGCAUAUUGGGUAGCUGACGUGACGUGGAGUGAGAUCUGCCGGCGGAUGCAGGGCUGGAGUAUAAACUCCAACCAAGUCGGACAACUUCUACUCCUCGUAGUGUGUGAGACCUGACUGGCGUUUUUCGUGGCAGACGAAAUCGAGAUCGUGGAAAUCCCCGUGUUUUUGCAUGAAGAAUUUGGCGAACAGCGAAGGAUGUCAUCACCACACUUGGUCCUGUUUACCAAAAUCCCCUUAAAAGACAGUGUCCUGGCCUGUUUAUGGACCCUGGCAAAUCGAGUCCUACAGGGGUGUUGCAAGCCGCUUUAAUAUCAGCAAGUCCACUUUGAUGGUUCAUUGCCAUCGGUUCUGUGUGCUGAUAAACACACACAUGGCACAUCAUGCUACCGGGCCAGUGGGGGAAAGUCUUCACAGGUCAGAGUUGGGAUUUGCUAGGGCAGGUCUCCCAAGGACCGGAUUGGCUGUCGGCGGCUGCCACAUCCCGAUUAGGAAGCCGCACCUAGAGAACCCACUGGCAUACCUAAACCGAAAAAAAUAAUAAUCUAUCAUUCUGAUUGGGUACUGUGGCAGCCAGAGGAGAUUCUGCCUCCCUGGUAGCUGGCAUGAUGCUUUCCAGCACACAGCAGUUGCUCAGGCUCUGGCGGAGGAUCCCCGAUCCCUCAUGCCAGAGGGUCUGCACAUCAUUGCAGACUCAGCCUUCCCACUCUUGCCUCAGUUGCUGAAGCCGUACCGGGACAAUGGACACCUCACAGACAGGCAAAACAAUUAUAACAGGAGACUAAACGGUGCUUGUGUGGUCACUAAACAGGCAUUCGGACUAAAUUCCAAAUUCCGCCGACUGAAAUACCUGCAAAUGGACAGUAUUCAGAAGAUUAGUGCAGCAAUGUGUUCCUGCUGCAUCCUAUACAACCUGUCCUACGAUCCUGGGGAUCAGCACCCUGACAUAAUUAACAAUGAGGCCCUGGAUGAUGACAUUUAUCCACCUCAGCCUCAAAAUGAACAGGCACUUCAUUACAGAGACACAAUAUGCAAUAGUUUAUAAAGGCCGAACCGCAGCCAAACACACCCCUCAGCCUGUUACAUGUGCAACUGUUCAUAGAUAUUAGCUCCGCCUUCGACACAUUCAUCCCUCAAAAGCUGAUCGUGAAACUGAGUGGGUUAUUGGUUAGGCCUGAACACCACUCUCUGCAAGUGGAUUUUGGAUUUCCUGAGAGGCCUCAGUUUGUACAGUUAGGAUGCAACACCUCCAACACCAUCACGGUACAGGAGCUCUGCAGGGCUGCGUACUUAAUCCUCUGCUCACCACCCUGCUAACUUAUGACUGCAUACAGUAGCAGCACACAACACCAAUCACAUCAUCAAGUUUGCAGAUGAUGCUACUGUGCUGGAACUGAUAAGCAGGCACUGCAUACAGAGAGGAGGUGGAACGACUGUCCACAUGGUAUGGACACAACAACUUAUCUUUCAACAUUGAAAAGAGAAAAGAAAUAACUAUGGAUUUUAGAAAGACUUGUCCUGUCCAUACUCCACUCAGCAUGAACGGGUGUGCUGUGGAGACCGUAAGGAGUACCAGGUUCCUCGGUGUGCACAUUACUGAGGAACUUACAUGGACGGACACCCCCUCCUCCCUAACCAAGAAAGCCCAGCAGAGAUACUUCCUGCGGCGGCUGAAACGGGCGAGACUCCUCCCUUCCAUCCUCACCACGUUCCACAGAGGCACCAUCGACAUUAUUCUGACCAGCUGCAUCAAUACCUGCCUCCUGAACCUCUCCAAGUCUGGGCGUACAAGGGACUCCAGCACAGCACUUCUCCGCUCAGCAUGGGCUUCGUAUGACUCAAAGAAUGAUCCCGCUUGGCUUGCUGGCCUCCUACCCAGGACGCCAUC
Molecule: non-coding RNA, 2153 nt
Organism: Paramormyrops kingsleyae
Lineage: Eukaryota; Metazoa; Chordata; Actinopteri; Osteoglossiformes; Mormyridae
Source: RefSeq, a predicted model, not a curated record